AUUCGGAUUGCAUUCAAAUUAGGCAGGAGAUAAGAUUAUGAAUCAUCAAUCAUUGUCGCCCACCCUUAUUGGAUCAACUACUUUGACACCAAAAGGGUCAAGCCAAAUAUAAUUUGGCACGAAGAUGUGGACAUGAGUCCAAGUGUGGCGCAAGGAAGAAAGGAUAGAGUCCAAGUUGACAAAGACUCUUCAUUUCUAAUCUGAUUCUAAUUCAAAUCAAAUUUAAAUUGAACCCACUGAUAGAAAUGAAUCUAAUCUAAUUAAAAAUUUAAAUAUCUCAUCAAAUUACUAACUUAAUUAGAAAUUAAUCGAGUCCAAACCC
This 322-nucleotide long non-coding RNA is filed under the name Elaeis guineensis (African oil palm). Its description in RNAcentral is "long non-coding RNA (EGUI_LNC033094)". Lineage: Eukaryota; Viridiplantae; Streptophyta; Magnoliopsida; Arecales; Arecaceae. The record is from RNAcentral.